Molecule: ribosomal RNA, 467 nt
Filed under: uncultured bacterium
Lineage: Bacteria
Description: partial 16S ribosomal RNA
Rfam family: Bacterial small subunit ribosomal RNA
Source: RNAcentral
GACGAACGCUGGCGGCGUGCUUAACACAUGCAAGUCGAACGGAAAGGCCCUGCUUUUGUGGGGUGCUCGAGUGGCGAACGGGUGAGUAACACGUGAGUAACCUGCCCUUGACUUUGGGAUAACUUCAGGAAACUGGGGCUAAUACCGGAUAGGAGCUCCUGCUGCAUGGUGGGGGUUGGAAAGUUUCGGCGGUUGGGGAUGGACUCGCGGCUUAUCAGCUUGUUGGUGGGGUAGUGGCUUACCAAGGCUUUGACGGGUAGCCGGCCUGAGAGGGUGACCGGCCACAUUGGGACUGGGAUACGGCCCAGACUCCUACGGGAGGCAGCAGUGGGGAAUAUUGCACAAUGGGCGGAAGCCUGAUGCAGAAACGCCGCGUGCGGGAUGACGGCCUUCGGGUUGUAAACCGCUUUCGCCUGUGACGAAGCGUGAGUGACGGUAAUGGGUAAAGAAGCACCGGCUAACUACGU